RNAcentral lists this transfer RNA (74 nucleotides) under Tumebacillus permanentifrigoris. Its description in RNAcentral is "tRNA-Arg". It matches the Rfam family "tRNA". From Rfam's summary of the family: Transfer RNA (tRNA) molecules are approximately 80 nucleotides in length. The record is from RNAcentral. Lineage: Bacteria; Bacillati; Bacillota; Bacilli; Caryophanales; Alicyclobacillaceae.
GUCGCCGUAGCUCAGAAGGAUAGAGCGCCCGCCUCCUAAGCGGAAGGUCGCAGGUUCGAAGCCUGUCGGCGACG